This is a non-coding RNA of Cyanistes caeruleus (blue tit), 2497 nucleotides long. Lineage: Eukaryota; Metazoa; Chordata; Aves; Passeriformes; Paridae. The record is from RefSeq and is a predicted model, not a curated record.
GCCCCCUCUUCAAAGCUUUCUUUUUUGGAGUUGUCAUGCCAAAGGAGGAUUUAAUUAGGGUUCUGUAUGUGCAUUUCCAAUGGAAAUGGUCACACUUGGGCCACCAUGCUAGAUAAAACUUCUUUAAAGCACCUGAGAGAGAGAGAGAGAGAGAGAAAGAACACCUCCAGAGAGCAGCCUGCUGAUAGAACCUACUUCUAACAAUAUGGACAAGGCUUUGUUGGAUGUCACUGGCAGAGAGAUCAGGAGCUCAAGAUAAUCUUAAUGGCCACAGCAGGUGAGCAGCAGUUCUUGCAUGACCGGUGGCUCUCACCACACGUCGCUACCACACAGAAGUUCCUUGUUCGUGCAUGGUGGCCUUCAGACAGACCUGCUCAAAUUCCUGCAUUUUGGAAUGGGCUGCUUUGAGGAGGUUUUGUGUCACAAAAGAAUCCCAAGAAGGGGAAAAAAUAAAUAGUUUCUUGCUCUGGCCUGGCAAUUGCAAGCUUGGUGUUUCCUGCUCUCUACACACGGAAUCCUUGCCUCUGGCUAAGAUUAAAAGCGUGAAACUGCAUGGGGAAACACAAGAAGGCUUGUCUCUGCAGACAGGCAAAGUGCUGUUUGCCAGAUUUGUGGCACUCUGAGAGCUUGCUGUACGCAUCUGCCCAGCAAAGUUAUCUGGUGGUGAGAAAUCCGAGGAUUCUGAGCGUUUUUUCAUGGAGAAACUUUGAAAGUCAAGCAAAUACUUUUAUCUUGACCUUUCUGCAAGGCUGCCCCACAUUCACUAGUUGUCAGCACAUGUUUGUCUGGAGUCAUUCGUCACUGCCAUCCGUCACUCCUCUGCCAUUCCCAUCAGUCCCAUUAUCUGGGAUCAGGAGAGAGCUGAGGAUGUAGCCUGAAGGAUCAUUAAACCUCAGCUUCCAGGUACUGCAGGUAGUCCAGGUGGUCUGUUGUUAUUUAUAAUAAAGAAACAACACAGCAGAACUGCCUGGCAGUGGCCCAUGAGGCCCAGAGAAAGGACGGGCUGAGGGAUGUCAUCACUGAAGGACAGCUAAAAGUGGACUUUCUUCCUCCCACACUGUAAGCAGAGAGGAUUUAUUGAACAUCUGUUCAGUACAUGGCUGGGAAGAUUGAUUAAUUUAAUUGCUCACACUUUGCUUAAGUAACAUUUGAAUACUUAAUGUCAGGUUUGAAGGAUAUUACAACAUUUACUCGCACACCUUUUUAAAGAGGCAGAGUUUCUCAUUGCUUUUUGUGUCUUUCAAGGAAGCUGAAAUGCAUCCUGAAAUUUACUUUGCCCAGAGGUCUGGGAAAACUGGAGAAAGUGGGAAAAGCUCCUUUCUUCAUAAAUGCAGAGUGGUGUCUUUUCCUAAUUUGCCAUGGUCAAGCACCUGAAUCCUAUUUGCUUCUCCUGUGAUGGCAGCUUGAUAUGAAAAUUCAGAAAAAAAAGUGUCUUUGUGAAUCCAGGAUUUCCAGGACAGAAUGAACGCCCAGAGGCUGUUCCUGGUCUCACCACAGUGUGUGGGAACACUUUGCCAGCUAUAUAAACAUCCUAUAAAUGAAGAUAACACUUGUAACUUCAGGGCUCCCAUGUUCUGAACUCUUAUUUCAUCUUGUCUGAAGCAGCAAUAGUAACAUGAAUAUUUUACCUACUUUGGCUUUUUUUUUUUUUCCUCUGCUGUGUUUAAUUAUGUUCCUUUUAUUGUGGAUACCAUAGGACUUAGAAGUGUGUUCAAAAUGCCAUUCUAUAUGGUUUAAUCCCUCUGGUGGUUACUGGGUUUGAGUGCCUGUAACAAACCAAUUGCUCUUAGUCAUUUCCCCUCAUUAUCAGAUGUUUGAUGGGAUGACUUAGAACCUUGUAAGCUUAAGGUUUUGAGGCAACAGUAACGAAAAUAAAAAUUACCUCAUCUCUUUUGAUUGUUAUGUGCUCUGCAUUAAUUCAUACAGUGGAUUUUUUUAUACUAAAGUUUUCUUAAGAUAUGACAAGUGAUUAUUUCUUUAAGUAUGUACUCUAUCCAUUAUUAAAUUGAUUAUUCAAAUCUCAUUUAAAACAAGAGGCCAGAUGGCAAUAUUCCAGUAUUUGUUGCUACUAGCAACCAAAAACCCCAAACUGAAUGAUUUUCCAUUUUUCACUGUGGAUGAAGAGAUCUCUUCAUUUUACAUGCAAUAAAAAGAAGCUACAGCUCACCAAUUAUGAAACCAGAUUGUUAUACUAAUACUUUAUAAAAAUCAUUCACUGACAUUCUGUUACUCUUGAUGACCUCCUGAUGUAUGUGAUCUAAUUCUAGGUUUGUUAACUUUGUUACCAAUUAUAAUUUUUAGUUAGAAUAAUAUUGUCAGGAAAGGAAGGCUUUUUUCUUUUUCGUUAUCUUGCUCAGAUUAUGAGACUCCAAUUAAUGAGAUUAUGGCUAUUCUAAGAAAGUAUAAGAAAAAAUAAAAUUAAGAAAGGUUCAGAACAUAAUUUACAUGGUGGUUGGUACAUGUGAUUUAAGUAAAAGAAAUGUAUUUUGAGAAUAAA